RNAcentral lists this long non-coding RNA (280 nucleotides) under Homo sapiens (human). Its description in RNAcentral is "HSALNT0129641". The record is from RNAcentral. Lineage: Eukaryota; Metazoa; Chordata; Mammalia; Primates; Hominidae.
UGGAGGUCGAGAGAGAGUGACGUCAAGCAAGCGUAGUAAGGGAGAAAAUAAAAUCCUCAAAGCACUAAGGACAGGGGCUAGAAGUUUCCUUUAUCUUCUCCCUCCUCAUUUAGAAGAGCACGUUUCCUACUCUACGUCUGGGAGCCUUGAAAACCCAGUCUGGUUCAGUUGCAGCAGGCUGCCUAUGCCUGAUAAUGACCUGACAGUUUAAAAGAGAGGGAUGGGUCAGUGGAGGCCCAUGGUUACCAGACACCAGCCAGGCCCAACAGGAUCUGGGCUG